AUGGUGCAUCAAGCUCAGGGCCUGCUCGUGCAGGAGGUGGCCGCCGACGGGGAGCUGCCGAGCCGCUACGUGCUCAAGGAGCAGCAGGGCCGCCCGGCCGCCGCCGCGGCCGCACAGCGUGCCGCUCCGUCCAUCCCCACCGUGGACGUGAGCCGCCUUGCCGACGCCGACCCCAGCGAGGCCGACAAGCUCCGGUCGGCUCUCGACUCCUGGGGCCUCUUCGCGGUGACCGGUCACGGCAUGACGGACCCGUUCCUCGACGCGAUCCUCGGCGCCGCGCGGGGGUUCUUCCACCUGCCGACGGAGGCGAAGCAGGAGUACAGCAACGUGGUCGACGCCGACGACGGCGGCCGCAAGUUCCAGCCAGAGGGCUACGGCGUCGACCGCGUCGACACCGACGAGCAGGUCCUCGACUGGUGCGACCGGCUCUACCUCCAGGUCCGGCCGGACGACGCGCGGCAGCUCCGCUUCUGGCCGACCCACCCGCCGGACCUCGCCGAGCUCCUCAAAGAGUUCAGCGUCGAGGGCGAGAAGGUGGCCAAGCUCGUCGUCACGGCCAUGGCGAGGUGCCUGGGCUUCGAGGAUGGGUUCUUCGUGGACAAGGUCGGCGACCGGAUGCCGUCGUACGCGCGGUUCACCUACUACCCGCCCUGCCCGCGCCCGGACCUCGUGCACGGGCUCAAGCCCCACACCGACAACUCCGUGGUCACCGUGCUCCUCCUCGACGACCAAGUCGGCGGCCUCCAGGUUCUGAAAGACGGCAGCUGGGUCGACGUGCCCGUGCUGGGCGACGGCCGACACCAGCUGCUGGUCGUGGUCGGCGACGAGAUGGAGAUCAUGAGCAACGCGGCGUUCAGGGCGCCGGUACACCGGGUGAUGGCGCCGGGGGAGGAGGCGGAGCGGGUGUCGCUGGCGGUGUUCUACCAGCCGGAGCCGGACAAGGUGCUCGAGCCGUCGCCCGAGCUGAUCGACGGGGACCGGCCGGCGAUGUACAAAAAGCUCCAGGCCAAGGUCUUCGCCGACGGCUUCUGGGACGCGUUCGCGCUCGGGGAACGCACCAUCGACUUCCUCAAGGUCAAGGUCGACGCCGUCGAUCCGCCGGCGGCGGCCGUUUCCGGCGCUUGA
Molecule: ribosomal RNA, 1125 nt
Filed under: Triticum aestivum (bread wheat)
Lineage: Eukaryota; Viridiplantae; Streptophyta; Magnoliopsida; Poales; Poaceae
Description: partial small subunit ribosomal RNA
Source: RNAcentral